Molecule: long non-coding RNA, 10123 nt
Organism: Cavia porcellus (domestic guinea pig)
Lineage: Eukaryota; Metazoa; Chordata; Mammalia; Rodentia; Caviidae
Exons: 4
Source: RefSeq, a predicted model, not a curated record
AUGCAGCCAGGCCAACACCUGGUCACUUCCUGCCCACUCGCCUCUGCCGCGCUGCCUCAUCUUCCUAGAGGAGAGACAGGAUGACACCUACAGCGUUGAUCGCCAACAGCGUCCCCAGCUCUGAACCCACGGACCUGACCACGGCCAGCUGGACUCAGCACCCCUCUCGGAGCUGGAGUCACUCUGUGAGCAGCGAGACAUCCACUUCGCUCUCCCCUGCCCCUGACAUGCCCUGCCCUGACAGAUAGAGCCCAACUGCCUGUUCCCUGCCGUCCUCAGCUCCCUCGGUGCACUCAGCACUCCGGGCCUGUGAGGUGAACCCCUGUGGGCCUUGCUUGAUGCUAGAAUGUCCUCCUGUCUCAGCCUCAGUGGACACCUGCUUGGGGGCCUUUCCCCACCACCCACCCUGAAGAGCCUCCUGCCACCAUCACCCGCCGUCCCCGUCAUCUUCCCUUGCUGGCUGGGACAUAGUGAGACCGCAGCUUACAGGCAGAGAGGUUUGCCUAGCUUGUGGCUUUGGAGGGCUCAGUCCACGGCCUAGGUUCUUGGGCGGAGCAGCAUGGCAGAGGGCCUGGAGAGGGGAGCAGCUCACCCCACAAGGGCAGGAGGCAGAGCAAGAGGGAGGAGCCAGGGGCCAGGGCACACCCCUCCGGGUCACUCCAGCUGGUGCCACCUGCAGGGAGACCCUGCUUCCUAACAGCAUGGCAGCUGUGAGCUCAUCCAUGGCCCAGUUACCUUCCACAUGCAAGGGACAUCUGGGGACGUCUUAGCACCAAACAGCGAGGUCACCGUGCCCUGGCCACUUGUCACCAUACUACCUUGUUACAUUUUAUUCACUGUCAAGAAACAAUGCCGCAAAUGCCUGCACUUUGCUGUUUCCUAGUUUACCUAGUGUCUGCCUCUGCCCCACCCAACACUGUCUGUCUAUCUGGCUCUGCUUGGCUGUAAACCAUGCUUUUCCCUCUCACUGCCUGGAGAAGCCCCCCCCCACACACACACACACUCCUGCAUCUUGAAUGACACCAAAGCCCCGCACUGUGUUCCAAGCUCCCGAGUCCAUCCUGCCGCCGCUGGACACCCUGGGAGGGAGUCAGGUCCCUCGGAAGUGGGGAUCCCAGCUGACAGGCAGAAGUGUCAGGUUGUUCCAUCCGGGAGUGGGUUGUCUCCUGAGGAAGAGGGCAGGAGCCAGGAAUGGUUGCUAACGCUGUGGCCAAACCAUCCCGUCGCUCCUCGCGCCAUCCUGCAAGGUUGCUCAGAGCAAGCGGGUAGGGAACUGGCACCACACCCAGGCCUCUCCCUCUGCCCCUGGCACAACUGUGACCACGACCCUGGCAUGGCGGGGGAGGUGGGCAGAGCAUACACGGGGUCCUGGUCCCCUCUGGUUUCUGUCUUGGUGUCACCUCUGUGACAAGGGCUGAGACCCAAGCCGAGUGUCAGCUUCCAGCCUGGGCGUCCAGGGAGAGGUGCACCGUUGGACUGUGAGUGCCCCAGGGUCUGCAGGACUUGGGUCAGGCGCCUCCCUCACCCUCUGCUCCUCAGCCUAGCCUGCAGCAGCCCCCAGGGCUUGUGGCCCCCUGUACACAGCAGAGCCUGCAGAGCUGUGACGUGGUGAUAUGGGGGAGGGGAUGAGAGGGGACAGGAGAGCCCACCAGGAGAGCGGCAUCCUCUGCACAGAAAAGAGGGACGGGGACCAAGCGUGACAGUGGGAGCUGCCCACCCUCACAGGAGGGACAGGGCAGUGUCUACACAGUGUCCCACUUGGUUCCCAGAGCUGGACGCUGUCAGAGAGACCCCGGCCUUGGGGGCAUUGUCCAGCCCGGAGCUGAGGUUGUGCAGGACUUUGCUUCUCGCUGGUGCCCUCAUGGGGCAAACCAGUAGGGCCAGUCCUGUUCCUGGGCCUACAGGAAAGGCCGGGCUAUUUUUAGCUGUGGGAGGUUGGGUUCCGGGAGGGCUCCAGCCAUAUUUGUCACAAGCUGUUGACACAACACAGCGUCACCAGCUGGGACAUCUGGGCUGAGCUGUCUUCAUUAAUCAAGAACUGUGGUUUCUUCCCAAGAUGUGCAGAUUUUGUGGGCAGCCGGCAGCCAGGACCUGAAACCCAGAUCGAACGUCAUAAAAAUAAGUGCUUUGUUCCCUCAGGACUCUAUGGGGGACCCUGAAAACAGGAGAUGCUGUUUUGCCUGGCUUCGGUGAGCUAUUCUUUUGGUACAGCGCUGCUUUGCCUGGCUUCGGUGAGCUAUUCUUUUAGGAAAAAAAUAUUUUGCAGUCACAGUGUUGUGUGUCACAAAAAUAAAUUCUGGAGGUAUACGCACAGCCGGGGGCAGGCCAGGCUUUCAGGGGGCUCUGCCCACAGACCUGGGGACUGAACCCAGCACCUGUGCACCCCGCCCCAUCCUUAGCCUUAUCCGGAGGAGGUUAGGGUUAGAUGAGAACGACCCGAGGAAGAGGAAGUCGUGGGAGCAGAGAUGAAUGAGACAGGGAGCCAGCGCCAGGGACCCCAGUGACAGCGGCUUCCAGGGAUGAAACCCCUGACCUGCGACUGCAUCUGUGAUCAGAAAGUGUGGACACAGCAAUGGGCAAGUCCGAGGCUGAAUCAGAGGCCAGGACACCAAGCAGCACCACAGACUUCAAGCCCAGAACCCAGGUUCAGGGGCGACCGGAACUUCUACAGGAAAAGUGGAAAACAGCUCCACAGACCCCGAGCCGGCUGAGGGGAAGCUGUGCCUGUGCUGGGAGGCUGGGAGAAUGGGAUGUGAGGGUGUGUGUGAGUGUGAGACUGUGUUUAUAUGUGCAUGCGUGUAAGAGUGCCCAUGUGUACGUGGCAGGCGUGUGUGCCCAUGUGUGUGUGACCAUCUGUGUGUGGCUUUCACUGUGGUGCUGUCCUGUGCCCUACAGGCUGGAGCAGCACUGGAUCAUUUGGACCGUUGUGUCAGCAGCCACUCUCUGAGCUUGGGGACUCAAUGGGACAGAGAGGAAAGGACUCCUGUGCCACCCCCAGUCUGUGAUAUGGAAAAGAAAUAUGUUUCCCUUUUUAACCCACUUCUUUUUUGGAGACAGAAUCUUACUAGGUAACUCAGGCUGGCCUUGAACUCACACUGUAGCCCAGGCAGGCCUCGAGCUCCUGGCAUGCUCCUGCCUCAGCCCCCCAAGCACUAGGAUUGGCUGUGUGCAGCACCAUUCCUGGCUAGGAAAGGGACACACUCUGCCCUAAGUCCCAGCUGUCGCAUGGUCUAAGAUGCUCUCAGACUUGACAGCAUUCAUGGUCCUCACUCGGGUGUGGAUGUGGUCCCUGGGGCCCAAGGGUGCAGCUGCGUAGACUCCUCGUGAGGCUGGGACAACGGGGAGGCAUCAAGGGUCAGCCCUGGGAGGAGAGAGCCAGGCACUGGGAGUGGGAAUGCCACCCCCACAUCUGUCCCUAGGCCAGGUGGAGCUUGGGCUUGUGUGAGGGAUGCAGGGACUGCAGGAGGACACAGAAAGGGGCCCCCUGGUGCUGCUGGGGUCGAUGGAUGGGGGACGGAAGAAUGGGGACCAGGAGACCAGGGGGGGGUCUGUUUCUGUAGGGAACGGGGUGGGGGUGACAGAAGGACAGGAGGUUGGAGGAGGGGAGGCAGCAGGGUCGCAGACCGAUGCCACGGGCAGAGGGAGGGAGAAGGGGACCUGGCUACGCACAGCAUGCCUGUAACCCCAGCACUCUGCGAGGCUGAGGCAAGAGGGCCUCAAAUUCGAGCCCAGACUGGAAUAUGCAACAAUUUAGUAAGACCCCGAAUCAAAAUCGAAAAUGGUCAACCAUACUUUAAACAGAGGAAGCUGAGGCCCCAGCUCUAAAACCUGCACUCUAGAAAGUUAAUUUUGGGGGCUGGGGAUUUAGCUCAGCGGCAUAAUUGCCUGCCUUGUAAAUAGGCAGUUGUAAGUUCGAUCCCUGGUACCGAUAAAAAGGAAAAAGACAAAAAAAAAAAAAAAAAGGAAGAAAGAAAGUUAAUUUUUUUCACAAAUAAAAAAUCGAGAUCAUGUAACAAGUUCAACUACCGGGUCACCAGGGGUUUGCACGGCAGCUCCUCCAAAUGCCAGCCAACUCUGUUGCUGAGCCAAGAUCUUUGGCACCAAGUGGCACUGAUCAUUCCAUGGCAUUGAAAAUGUGAAGGCAACCAAGGAAGUCCUGGUGCCACGAUUCUUGGGGGAGAGCCAGAGGGAGUCAGAGGCAGUCACCGAGCCCGCCACUACCUUGAGGACAUCAGGUAGAGCCUGGUGAGCGCUGUGACAAGAGCAAAGUGGGAAGAGUGAGACUGAGAGGGACAGGACACGCCUAUUGCUCAUGGGCAGGAAGACCUCUCUGGGAUAUGCUGUGAACAGCCAGAGCUGCUGGGCAGGCAAGGCAAGAGAGAACAUGGGAAGUAGAGGCACCAAGCCAUGCAAAGGGCCUGUGGUGAGCUGCUGGGGCCAGGCAGCUUCCAGCAGGAGCCAAGAUCCAGCUACAUGGACAUGGGCCAGGAUAGCCAUCCACAUGGUGGUCUCUAGCCUCCAGCUCCUCAUGACAGCAUGAGGAACGGAAAUGGUCCUGAGUCCCUCCCAUAAAGCCACACCAGCCAGGACAGCCAGCCGUGUCCCUGUCCUGAGCCUGAAGUUUGAUUAACGCCUCAGAGGGCUUGCAGACUCGGCUUCUGCCCAGAUGCAGGCCGCCCGGGUCAGCCAUCCCUUGGGGCCAGUGGCUGCAUCGGGCACCCUGUCGAGCUCCAGCAGCAGCAGAGCCCGUCCUGGGGCCACAGGAAGCCCCACUGCACCUGGUUCCCACGGCACCUAUGUGAUUCUGGGAAACAAAACCCCAUUUCAAGCGAGCAGCACCACAGGCUUGGUAUGGACCACGAGUUCUUAGCAGCUUCUUCCCAGGCGCCCCAAUCCCCCUGACAUGGGGUCCCUCAGCUUCCUGAGCAAACAGCACAGUCACCACAGUGGCAGUGACGGGAAAGGCAGCCUCUACUCUGUCCGCAGUCCCUCGAGGAAGAUAAAAGGUCAGGGCCCCAGAACCCCUGCCCAGCCCCUCCUGGGUCCCCCUGUCAUUCCUGCCCUCGGGAGGCUGAGGCAGGAGAGUCGCUGACAGUCCAGACCAGCCUGAACUGCAGCAAAACCCUGCUGCCUCAAAAAUCCCAGCAUAACCAAAAGUAGAGCAGAAAGGGUGUCAGUGGCGAGCAGGCCCUGUGACCUGCUGCCCAGCCUUCGUCACCUGCUCACGGUGUGGGCAGCAUCACCAGGGGCCCUCCACACGCUCCCCACCUACCCUUGCUUCCCAGGGGCCCUUAACUGCCGUCAGGGAGGAAAUGAGGUCCGGCCCAGAGCCCAGUGUUGCCGUGGCCCCAGAUUUCCUGGCCCUGCAGACUCAGCCAGGCCUGGCUCUCCUUCGACAGACGCAAAGAGCCAGCCACACCUCAGAGCCGCUGCCAUCCCUGAGGCACAGACGGGAGGGGACAGCGGGGCCACACCAGGUCCCGGGCGCCUCAGAAGCCCAGCCCAGGAAAGUGGAUGGCACCCGGGGCUCUGCCUGGCAGGCGUGGGUGGUGCAGGAGCUGCUGCAGCUGGGCAGGGAGGAUGGCGGGGGGGAGCCUGGCUGCGUCCUCCCGAUGAGCACACUCUGCUCUGUUAAGGGACAGUGGUUCCAUGUCUGCCGUGGGUGACCAGUUCACCCCAGGCAUGGGUGGGACCUGGCCUCUGCGAGGAAACCCAACUCCUGGGGAGGCUCCCAUGUCUGUCUGGGUGCUGUACCCACUGGACCCCACACUGGCCAGCAUGGCCAAGCCAGGUCACGUCCAUGGGUGCUGAAGAAAUCACCUCUGGCCUGGGGUGGUGGUCUCAGUGAUCAACUCUCAGGGAAGCAGAGCCAGCCUGAGAGUACCCGAGCUGGCUGCGGGCAUUUCCACUCCUGCAUGUCCAUGCCUCAGCAGAGUCUCCUCACCUCCCACUCACAGGGAGGAGAAGUCUGACCCGUUAGGGGGACUCAGGGAGCCGGGCCUCGGCUUCCCUGCUCAGCCGCCGCCUCUGACUCUGUGUCUGUCUCUGUGUCUGUGUCUGUUUCUCUGUCUGUCUCUCUCUCUCUCUGUCUCUCUGUCACAUGCACGCCCCUGAAGGCCAUCAGGAGGUCACAGUCCCGUUGUCACAGGAGUGCCCUGUAUGACACUGUAGUUUCCUAGUAAACCAUGCUGAGUGGCACAGAGCAAAGCAGUUCCCUCUCCACAUCCUCGGCAUCUCGGAGACCCCGGGGAAACCCCCUCACUCUGGAGGUCAGGAGAAGCCACCAGAAAGCAGGCCAUGUCUCACCCACUGGCCACCAGCAGGGCCGGACAAGACCACCAGGGCUCCUCUCUCCAGACACGGGCGGGCGAGGCGCUCACAGCCCCACGGCUCCCGCUAGCAGCUCCUGGGGCGAGGCCUGGCUGCACUCACACCCAGGCUCCUGUACCCUGCCCCUGCCCACUGUCCCAUGCGUCCUGCAGGCCCCAGGAGCCCGGCUGUCCCUCGCCCAGACAGCAGCGUCAUCUCUGUGUCUCUAUGAGAAACGGCUCUGGCCCAUGUCACGCAGCUCCUCACAGUCCCCAGACAGGAAGGAGAUGGGGUCAGGACUGGAACCCAGCUCUGGCUCAGCCUUCAAUAAUGGUGGAUGGUUGACAGACUAAUCAAAGGGCCUGAGCACACCUAUAAGCCCAGCCCUGGGGAGGCUGAGGCAGGAGGAUCCUCCUGAGGUUGAGGCCAGCCUAGGCUACCUUGCCACACCCUAUUUCAAAAAAACCAAAUAAAUAAAUAAAAAGCUCUCCCAUCUUAUCUUGUGUAAUCCCUGCCACUCCUCCAGGUUGGAAUUCUCACUCCUGUUUUCAAAUGAGGAAGAGAUUAAAAGUGAGUUGCACAAUUACUUAUCGUAAACCCUAAAACUGUGCCCUUCACCCCGCAGCCCCGAGCCUGAGCACCUACCCCAGGGAAACAGAGACCUGAUCCAAAAUUGGCACUUGCUAUGGGGAAAUGUUCAGCAGCUAGGAAGCACCAAAUUGGGGUCAAAAGUCAGCUUUCCGGAAGCGGUGAGGCUCAUCUGUAUUCCCAGUGCUCAGGAGGCUGAGGCGGGGCAGCCGUGCAAGUUUCCCGGGAUCAGGGAUUUAACCCCAAUGUCUGCAUCAUAAAAAGAAGGCAAACCUCAGAGAGUCCAUCAGGCCACACUGGGGGACCAGAAACCAUGGCAGGCCCCUUCCCAGUAUCACUUGUGCCUGGCAGAGAGUUAGGAUGGGGUCAUGACAUUGUUUUGUUUUGUGAUAGUCUCACUGUGUAGCUCAGGCCUGAAACUCACAGUGACCCUCCUGCCUCAGCCUCCCGAGUGCUAGGAUGACAGGUGUGCUAGUUACAGCACAGGUUCCAGAGCCAGUGUGCAUGUCUGGAACCCAGCUGCUCACUGGCUGUGUGGCGUGAGCUCUGGGCUCCCGUGUGUGUCACCCUGAGCUGCCCUGGAGUGCGGUGAGCAUGGCGCAGGCUGCACUGCAACAGAUGGCAGCUGGCAUGGCCAGAGCCUCGCCAGAGCGACCUUCACCAGCAGGUGGAUCAGAGUCACCUGGCCCCGCUUCUUCCUCCAGGGACAGGAAGCCAAGGCCUGGGCAGGGGCAGCAGCUGGCAGGAGGCAGGUGCCUGGCGGGUGGGGACUCUACUCUGUGACUCACAGGGUGGAGACAGGACUGGGCCUCUGGGCGCCGGCGCCAGGUGUCUGGGCCUGGGCUGGCGAUGUGGCUCCCGCAGAAACCAGGAGCGGGGACCCUGGCCAUCUGGAUCGUAUCCCGCCCCGCGACACCAUGACGGUGGCAGACAGGAGAAGGAGAGGCCAAGGGUUCAGUCAGCUGGGCUCUGCCAGCCACAUGGCCUGGGACUGCUGUGGGGUCCACACUCGGUGUCCUGGCAUGACACCCCCCCACCAGGCCGGGCACAGAAGGGCCACGAGCACCACACCAGUGCUUCACCUGCCCUUGGGCACCUGGCAUCCCCAAUGGGAGCGCAUCACAUGGAGAGACGAGAACAACCCGGUCCCUCUGGGGAAAGGUGCUGGGAGGGCGAAGUCACCAUCGCCAAAGCCGGGGCUCUGCUGCAGGACUCACUAUGCAGCUCCGGCUGGCCUUGAAUUCACUAUGGAACCCAGGCUGGCCUCAGCCUCUCAGCGAUCCUCCUGCUCAGCCUCCUGGGCGCUGGGAUUAUAGGAUAGUCCUCCUCCAUCAGCUCUCUACCUUCGGCCCGGGGCUGUUUCGCUUCUCACUGACGCUAAGCGCUGAACAGGACAAGGUCUUGCCCCUGCUGUCUCUGAGGCAAGUGCUCCCCUUUCCACACCCCUGCCCUGGCGCUGCACCCAGCCUUCCUAUCUGUCCUGUCCCUCACCUGCAGCACACCCCAUGCCUUCAGUGGCCUCUGUGGCCACCUGCCCUGUAAUAGUGGCACCUGGCCUCGGUCAGCUUUCUGUCACUGGACGACACACUGCCACCUACAGGUGAGGGAGGAGCUGGUCCUCAGGCUCAGGGCCUCAGGGGACGGUUGCUGCUCCGGCUCCGGGCAGGAACAGCAAGGCAAAGGGGCCUGGCAGGGCAACACGCUCACCUCACAGUGCUCAAGGAACAGCAGAAAGGAAGGGACCAGGCCAGGAGGAUACGGCACCUGAGCCACACCUCCAGAGCCCGCCCAGCCCCGAAGCAGCCGUGCUGAUGCCUGGACAGUGGCCAGGCCCAUCAAGUGGACGACAUGGGCCUCGCCCUCCUGGAGCUGCUGCUGCUGGCAGCUCCCGGUGUCUGCUUUCUCACUUCCUCCUCACAGGAAACUCGUGGGCUUUGGUCAGUGACAACAAGGAACACGAGACUCUAAGGGGCUGAGAAACUGUCCCCACCUGACACAGCAGGAGUAGCAGGCUGGCACUGCAAGUCCCAUCUCUCAGGCACCCUGGAAGCCUGGGCUCUGGGGCUCCAGCCAGUCCUGCCUCAGUUCCCCACAUCCCUUGGGUGUUUAGUGGUGGCUGUUGCAUUGGAGGGGUGGCGUGGGACGGACUGGCCAGUGCUCCCAGGAGCACAGUACUGGGCGUGGUGGCCGCCUGAGCCAGGCUGGCCCUGAUCGCUCUGUGGCAGUCUCAUCCUCUUCCUCCCCGCCCAUCGCAUCCUUUGGGCAGGGACAGGCCUGGGGGAGUUGCAGGGACGUAGAAGUCGCCUGCCUGCAGGACUGGGGUUUUCCAGGCCCCACCCUCCAGUGCCUCCUCCAGGUUUGACUGGGCAGUGUCGUGGUGACCCUGCCCACCACAUCCCAGGAAGUGGCUGGCAACAGGCAUGCCCUGCAAGUUCCUACCUCAGGGGCUGGGGGUGGACAGCAGGGUGAGCAUAGUCUGGCUCCAGACAGAGCCCAGGAAUGCUGGGCUGGGCAAGGGGAGCAUUUGUGUACUGUCCUCGCGGUCUGUCCUUGGAGCGGCUCUGUGGUGAGACAGGCUGCAGGGCUGGGGCAUUGGUGCCACCUGGCUACCCAGGCCUGCAGCACCCUCUGCCUGGUGGUAGGGCAGUGCUUACAAGUGUGGGUGCAGAGAGGGUGCAGAGGUCAGGGGCACAGGUGCGGGGCGGGGGGGGCAGAGGUCAGCGAGUGGGUUUGGGUGGUGGUCAGCCAGGCCCCUGGGGGAGCUGGGCUGCCCAGCUCUGCCCACAGAGAGCUCCGCCCACCACCUAGCUCCUCCUGGACCACACGUGCCAUCUCCCACGCACAGCUGCGGGGCUGCUGGCACUGUCCUGGUCCCCAGGGCCACAUGGCUACUGGACCCCAGGAGUAUGAACCCGGAUCCCGGGUGCCAGGACCUGUCCCAUAAACCUUGCCCUGCAGGGCCUCGGGAUGCUCCAGUGAAGGUUUCCCCAGCUGCCCAGUGCCUGGCCCCUGGCCAUCUGCGCCAGGCUAGUUGCCUGGCAGCAGUAAACUCCCACCUAAUCCCUCCUGAGGAGGCUGAUCCGGUGUGACCAGGAAGAGGCUGGAACAUCCACUCCCUCACUUCUUCCCUGAAUGCUUCAGAUGCGGGGGGGGGGGGGGCUGACCAGUGAGGUGGUAUGACCCCAGCUUUUCCGGGUUGGUUUGUUUCAAUAAACUUCUUGCCUUG